CCUACGGGUGGCAGCAGUGAGGAAUAUUGGUCAAUGGCCGGAAGGCUGAACCAGCCAAGCCGCGUGAAGGACGAAGGUGCCAAGCAUUGUAAACUUCUUUUGUCAAGGGACAAAAUCAGGCUCGAGAGCCUGACCGAGGGUACUUGAAGAAAAAGCAUCGGCUAACUCCGUGCCAGCAGCCGCGGUAAUACGGAGGAUGCGAGCGUUAUCCGGAUUUAUUGGGGUGAAAGGGUGCGUAGGCGGACUGUUAAGUCAGCGGUAAAAGCCCGGGGCUCAACCCCGGCGAGCCGUUGAAACUGGCUGUCGUGAGAUGGCGAGAGGUAGGCGGAAUGCGCAGUGUAGCGGUGAAAUGCUUAGAUAUUGCGCAGAACUCCGAUUGCGAAGGCAGCAUACCGGCGGUGAUCUGACGCUGAUGCACGAAAGCGUGGGUAUCGAACAGGAUUAGAUACCCGUGUAGUC
RNAcentral lists this ribosomal RNA (459 nucleotides) under uncultured bacterium. Its description in RNAcentral is "partial 16S ribosomal RNA". It matches the Rfam family "Bacterial small subunit ribosomal RNA", at positions 338 to 795 of the family's 1533-position model. The record is from RNAcentral.